RNAcentral lists this non-coding RNA (427 nucleotides) under Roussoella sp. Its description in RNAcentral is "partial 18S ribosomal RNA". The stretch from base 23 to 384 matches the Rfam family "Group I catalytic intron". Rfam says of the family: Group I catalytic introns are large self-splicing ribozymes. Lineage: Eukaryota; Fungi; Ascomycota; Dothideomycetes; Pleosporales; Thyridariaceae. The record is from RNAcentral.
UUUCAUCCGUGAACAAGCGAUCCUUCGUCCCUUGCGGAAGCCUUUGCAGCUGGAGACAGUAAGCCGAGCGACUGAAAACAACAUCGGCCCCAUGCAAGUCGGCGCCCGCGCCGGCGACACUUUCGAACUGACGGGGACACCCUAAAGCCCUCUCCACCAAGCCAGCCGGGGAAACCCGCUGGUGGCCCGUCCUAACGUACGGGGUAUGGUAACAGAGAGGGGGAUGACCCGGCGCCCGCGAGGGCACCGGCGAAAUGGGCGAUCCGCAGCGAAGCUCCUACCCCCCCGCCGCGGGGCACGGAGAACGUCCACAGACUAAGCGGAAGUGGGUGGAGCCUCGCGGCUCUGCUUAAGAUAUAGUCGGGCCCCCUGGGAGACCUGGGGGAAAACGAGCCGUUCCGUAGGUGAACCUUCGGAAGGAUCAUUA